CGCGGAACCUCGCGCGCCUGACCGGCUGCGUCUGAGGAAUGUCGCGUUCCGGAGGGGCCUUCUCCGACCACACCGACCCCCCCCAAGUCCGCUUGAACGCGGCCACUACCCAUGGAGGGUGCGAGGCCCGUACGGGGAUUAGGAGUCGGGCGGUCGGACGGCCCCGUCCGUAGAGUCGGGUUGCCUACUAACGCAGCCCAAAGCAGGUGGUAAACUCCAUCUAAGGCUAAAUAUGACCACGAGACCGAUAGCGAACAAGUACCGUGAGGGAAAGUUGAAAAGAACUUUGAAGAGAGAGUUCAAGAGUGCGUGAAACCGUUAAGAGGAAAACGGGUGGAACCUCGAAGGUCGAACGGGGGGAUUCAGUCCGACGGCGUCGGAGGGCGGCGGUCGUGCGACCCUUUUUCUCGGGGCGCCUCCGCCGUCCGACCGGCGCGGACGGGCGUAUUUCCCCCUUAGUAGGACGCCGCGACCCGUUGCGGGGUUGCCGAAGGCCCGGGUGGGCGGAACCAUCGCCACUAGAUGGGGACCCCUCGGUGUCCUGGCCGACCCCGCGACGGUCGUCAAUGCAAGUGCCCGCCCGCCAACUCAGUUGGGGGGCGCCUCCUCUGCCGGGGNNNNNNNNNNNNNNNNNNNNNNNNNNNNNNNNNNNNNNNNNNNNNNNNNNUGAAGCACGGACCAAGGAGUCUAACAUGUGUGCGAGUCAUUGGGCGAACUAAACCCAGAGGCGAAAUGAAAGUGAAGGGCCUCCCCAGAGGAGGCCCGAGGGCCGAUCCGCACCCCCUUGCGGGGGCGGCGCAAGCUCGGGACUUGCACACCCCACCGUGGGUGGUGAGUACCAAGAGCAGACAUGUUGGGACCCGAAAGAUGGUGAACUAUGCCUGGCCAGGACGAAGCCAGAGGAAACUCUGGUGGAGGUCCGUAGCGAUUCUGACGUGCAAAUCGAUCGUCGGAGCUGGGUAUAGGGGCGAAAGACUAAUCGAACCAUCUAGUAGCUGGUUCCCUCCGAAGUUUCCCUCAGGAUAGCUGGUGCUCGCUACAGAGUUUCAUCCGGUAAAGCGAAUGAUUAGAGGUCUUGGGGACGAAACGUCCUCAACCUAUUCUCAAACUUUAAAUGGGUGAGAGGUCGGGCUUGCUUGACUGAAGCCUCGACAGUGAAUCUGGAGUACCUAGUGGGCCAUUUUUGGUAAGCAGAACUGGCGCUGUGGGNNNAACCAAACGUCGAGUUAAGGGGCCUAAAUGGACGCUCAUCAGAUCCCAUGAAAGGUGUUGGUUGCUAUAGACAGCAGGACGGUGGCCAUGGAAGUCGGAAUCCGCUAAGGAGUGUGUAACAACUCACCUGCCGAAGCAACUAGCCCUGAAAAUGGAUGGCGCUCAAGCGUCCUCCCGAUACUCGACCGUCGGGGCAGUACCGGCCGACCAGGGUCUCGAAGCCCCGACGAGUAGGAGGGUCGCAGCGGUGAGCGUAGAAGGAGUCCGGCGCGAGCCGGUCUGGAGCCGCCGCUGGUGCAGAUCUUGGUGGUAGUAGCAAAUACUCGAGCGAGAUCCUUGAGGGCUGAAGUGGAGAAGGGUUCCAUGUGAACAUCAGUUGAACAUGGUGCAGUCGAUCCUAAGCCCAAGGAGAAAUCCGCCUUCCACAGUCCCGCCGUGCCGAACACGAGAUAGAUACUUCGUGCGGGCUGCCUGCCUGCCGGCUGCCGGGCGUGCACGCGGGGGGAAGCUCCCCCUGCUUCUGCUGCUGCCCGACGGGUAGGUGGGCUCCCGCACAUCCUCCGCCUCGUCGGCCCACCCAGGCUGAGGGGAGGACACGAGUAUGCCAGGGUCAUCCAUCCAUCAGGAAGGAAGGAGGCGCGUGCGCAGGCAGGGUGGGGUGGAGGAGGACGAAAAGGAGGGAAAAAAAAACCUCCCGAGUAGCACUCUCAACCACCCUCACACCCGCGACAUAUGCAUGCACACGUUACGUCUCCUCCUCCUCCGGAGGCCCGCCAGAGCGACUCGAGCGGUCUAUGCGGCCGGAAGGUUUUGGGCGAAAGGGAAUCCGGUUCUUAUUCCGGAACCUCCACCCGGAGACGGUGUUACCCCUCGCCUAAAGGUACUCCUGGCAACAGGAGGAAACCUGCUGCUGCCGGCCGCGGUCCAGGGAAGA
This 2146-nucleotide ribosomal RNA is filed under the name Odontodactylus cultrifer. RNAcentral describes it as "partial 28S ribosomal RNA". It matches the Rfam family "Eukaryotic large subunit ribosomal RNA", at positions 112 to 1688 of the family's 3401-position model. Lineage: Eukaryota; Metazoa; Arthropoda; Malacostraca; Stomatopoda; Odontodactylidae. The record is from RNAcentral.